GUGUGUUUAGGGCGUCCAAAUCCACUUUUUCUAGUUUGACGGCGGUAAAAAGAGUCCGUGCGCCGGGCGCAUGGUUCAAAAGGGGUGUACUUAGUGUCUUCAUUAAUUCAUAGGUGUGUUUAAGGUGUAACAUGCAACCAACCAAUCAGAGGUCCUCUCCCAUUCCUUUUAAAAGCCAGGCGAGUUUGUACCUUGGGGCAUU
This is a long non-coding RNA of Etheostoma spectabile (orangethroat darter), 202 nucleotides long. RefSeq lists it as uncharacterized. The record is from RefSeq and is a predicted model, not a curated record. NCBI's taxonomy places the organism in Eukaryota, Metazoa, Chordata, Actinopteri, Perciformes, Percidae. The transcript is spliced from 3 exons.